CAAUUUCACCUAUUUCUAUCCGUUGUGAUAGUGAGGCUACUCUAGCAAAGGCAUAUAGCCAAGUAUAUAAUGGAAAGUCUAGACACAUUGGAUUAAGACAUAGUUAUGUCCGACAAUUAAUCUCUGAUGGAGUGAUCACUAUUAAUUAUGUGAGGUCAAGUGAAAAUUUGGCAGAUCCUUUGACAAAAAGUCUUGCUAGAGAUGCAGUAAAAAGGACCUCAAAAGGGAUGGGACUCAAGCCUAUUAAUUAGAGUCACCCAUGAUGGAAACUCGACUCAACACUUGGUAUAACGUCAAGUCUUGAGUUCAAUGAGACAAAGUACAUCAUUAGUAUGUGACUGUUAGCACUAUAAAUAAAUCCAUCAUAAGAUUAAAGUGCUAGGUACCCGUAAUGAUAAGGGAAGGAUGAGUAAUGUACUCUUAAUGGACCCAUAACAUAAAUAUGUUAGAGUGUUAUAAUUACGGGAACACUUUUGAUGGGAUCUACUUAUGUGAGUGGAAGUGUGGUCGCUUCUAGGAGCUUAAGGGCUUGGCUCUGACGGCACUCAUGAAAAGAGGACAUAGACACAUGGCUAUAAUAGUGUCCCUAGAUACUAUGCAUUGACUGAUGUUGAAAUCAUUGUGUGAGAUGUGUUCAGUUAAUCAAAUGGAAUAGUUGGUUCAAAGCUUAGUCUACCAUACAAUUUCGAUUAACUUUAACAUGUUUUCACUAAGUGAAGGUUCAAUCGUAAGACACCUUUAUUUAUGCAAAUUGAUUUCCAAGAAUAUCAAAAUCUAAAUAUUUUGAAAAUGGGGGGAGAUUGUUAGAAUAUUUUCAAAUAUUUAUAGUAUCCCAAUAACUAUAAAUGAAUGGGUGUAAUUAAUCAAAAGAUAAAACUUUUGGUCAUUGGUCAAAAGUUAUAUCAUUUGAUUUUUUAAAAAAGAAUUAUAACUAUUCAAAAAAUAUUAUUUGAAUAGUUACAAAAUUAAAUGAAUAAUUAUUAUUAUUUAUUUAUUCAUAAAGACACCUAUUGAAAGAUGUCUCUAUGAAGAGACAUGAAAAUUCCUAUAAAUAGGAAUGGGAUUUCAUUUGGAAAUCAUAUAAACAAAUUCUAAUAUUAUUUCUUCUCUUCCUUCAUUUUCUAAUAUUAUUAGAUUAUUCUAUAAAGUAUUGCUGCAGAAAUCCUUUGUAGAAAUUGAGUUUUUGUUAUACAUUACUCAGUGCAUAGUGGACUAUUCUCGUCAGUGCAAAACGCAAAUAGUCAUUGGCUUCAUUGUAUCCUCGAGGUUAAUUUGCUUGGAACUCGUUUGCACACUAAAGAUAAGUGGGGGCGAAUAUAACCUUAAAGAUAGUGGCUUGAUACACGCCUUGGAGCCUGUCCUAUUUCUUCUUUUUCUUUUCGAGUUCUGAUCGUGUGUUCGAGUUUUUUCCUUACCGGAGUUUUGUACUAACAUAAUCCAAGUAAACUGAAUUUAUAAUUUUAUGCAUAGUGUAAGGUUGAUAGUAGAAUUUAACUGAACAUAUUUAAGUGCUACUAUUUGGAUCAGUAAUUAAAUUUCAAAUUAUAAAAAAUAUAAAAAUUAAAAUUGACCAAUUUAAAGUAUAAGUACCAAAAUUUGUAUAAGUCUUAUGCAUACUUUGUUAUUAUUCCCUUUCUUUUUUCCAAUCCAUGCUUUGAAUUUAUCGUUGUUGUCUUUAUUUUAUCUCUUUGUCAAAGAUAGAACAGAGGAAUUUCUAUUCUUCUAUUUGAGUCCAUAUAUAAAUCCACAACACUACAUUGUGUUCGAUAAAUUUUGAGUUUGUAUCUAGGUAUUAAAUCGAAAUUUUAAUCAUUAUUCUAAAUAAAUCUUGAUAGAAAAUAAAAAUAUUUUAGUGCAAAAUAAUUGACAACUGAAACUUAAUGAAACUAAAUUCUACGGGUUUAUAUUGAUCUAGUUCAUCGGUUUUUAUUUUUAUUUUUGAAUGGGAGACUAAAAUAAAAACUUACUAAUAAUUGGUUAAUCAACGGUUUUGAGAAAAAGUGACUUAACAACCCACCUUAAUGUUCGUAAGCAAGUUAUGGAGGAGUGGCUUAAAUGGUCAAUUUUGAAUAGUUAAACGAUUGGAUUGUAAUUUUUUACAAUUAAGUGACCAAAAUAUAAAUUUAUUAGUAAUUGAGUAACCACGAGAUUAAUUUAUCCAAAAUAUUAGGAAUCGUCCCUUUGGUAAGGAAAAAUAUCAUUUUUAAAAAUUUUAACCUUGAUAAUAAAAUUAAAAAAAAUGCCAUAUCAAAUAAUAAUUUCUAUUUUUUUAAUUGUAAAAACAAAAUUCCUCCCAUUAUCGUUUCCAUGUUUUCCUUCUUAAUCUUCAAUAAUUCAAAGUGGAGGUAGGCCCGACCAUUAUGGAAUUUUAGUCAAAAUUUUCCCAUUUUAAUUAUUAUUAACAAUUUAAAAUUUAAUUUAAUUAUAAAACAUAUAAAUAAUUUUUAAUAAAUUAUAAAAAUAUUUUUAUUUUUUUUAAAAUCAAAUAUAAUUAUUUUUAAUAAGGUUUUCAUUCAUAUAAUGAAAUAUUAAAUCAGGUGAUACCAAAUUUUUAUGUGGUUUAUAAAUUUGUAAAUUUUAUUAUUUGUUUUUUUUUAAUAAUAAGUUUUAAACACCUUAGCUCAUAAAAAGCUUGACAUUUUUUUUUAAUUGUACUUCAAAUAAAUAUAUUACGAAUGUUAGUGUAAAUGAACUAUUAAUGAAAAUUAUGGCCAACUUCGUAGGUUGUUUAAUUCAAAAGCACCUACUUAAAUUAAUUGAAUUAAAUGAAGCAAAAUUCAAAUAAAAUUAAUAUUUAUGGUUUUAAAAAUAUUAUUUAUUGUUUAAUAGAGUUAAUAUUUUUAAAUUUUUAUGGUUCUGUAAAUAAAAUAUUUUGCUUGAAAUUCAAAGAAAUAUUUUUUAUACAGUAAAUGUUACAAUUUAGACCUAUUCAGUUCUUUUUAGUAGUAUACAAAUUAAAUUAAUUUAUUUAAUAAUAGAGGGAUUAAUUUGAUUGGAUUCCUCUAAUACCAAGACUUUCCAACUUCUUUAACCAAUUCAAAAGUGUGAGGAUGAUUUUAAAAAAUAUAUAUUUUAGUAUUGGGGCGAAAUAAAAUUAUAAAAUUUUAUAUUAAAUAAUUCAUAAUUAGUAAAGAUUUAAAUACAUAUUAUUUCACUUAGUAAAGAUUAAAGUAUUUUUUAUAGAUUUAAUUGGUUAAAUUUAUUUAUUUUAUUACGAAAAUUUAUUAUAAAUAUUUCAAUAAUAUUUUAUAAAUUUAUAAAAUUAUAAUCCGACUCGACUAAGAAGGUUUGAGCAAUAUUGAUUACUCAUUUAUUAUAGUUGUUUAUUUUUUCUAUAAAUAUAAAUAUAAUUUAUUUUUGGCCCAAUAAUUGAACCUGCAAACCAUACCGGCACGUAAUUUAAUAUCUUAGCUAAGAAAUACCAAACAUACACGUAAAUGUUCAUAAGACAACAACAAAUAUUGCUGCCUUUAUUCAUAAUAUUCAUUUUUGUUUAAUUAUGCACCAAAAAAGAAUUAUUCAAUUAAGUUGUCUGAACGAAAUUUAUUUUCUAAAUUGGGGAAUUAAAAUUUGCUUGAAUUAAAUUAUUAUUUUUUGGAAAUAUUUUUUUUAUUUAUUUAAAGAUUAAAAAAAACUUAAAUUAAAUAUUUUAAUUUUGGGAAGAGUAAUUUAUCCAUUUAACUAAAGAGGCUCCUGCGUAGUACUUUGAUAUGCCCGGGUUUCUAAAUAAACAACUAUUCUAUAAAAGUAUUAUGAAAGCCUCUUGUAUUAAGAGUGAAAUUACAUUUUGUCUCAUUUACUCAAAAUAUUUAUAAAUUACUCCAUGUAUGAUAAAUCAACGAGCAAAAUAGUAUUUUCUGCUAAAUUUUUUAAAAACUGGCAUGUCAGAUGAGAUAACUAGAAUGACACGUGACACGUUAUGUGCACCUUAUGCUAAUGUACAAAUAUCAGUUUUGAUAAUUUUUUUAACUGAAAGAUUAAUUUAAUUUUGGAUCUAACUUACCCUAUUUCUUAAAUAAAAUACAUAAAUUAAAAAUAAAUAAAUUCAACCAAUUGAAUCGAAAAAAAAUCAACUUGAGUUGACUUAUUUGAUAUUUUUUAUAUUGAUGAUAAAGGUUCUGAACUUCACAAGAAGUUGACUGCCCAUCUUUUUAAUAUAUUAUAAAAUACGCACAAUUUUCAUAUUUAAAAAUAAUUUAAUUUUUAAAUCAAUAAUAAUACACUAAUAGAAUUAAGGUCUAAUUUUGCCCCAUGUCCUUGUAUUCUUCCUAUUUUCAAAAUUUAAUUCAUUUGCUUUUAAAAUUCAAGAAUGUUGUCCCUCUAUUUGUAUGAUUUAAAAAUUAAAGUUUAACUGAUAACCUUGUUAAUUAACUUAUGUUUAAUAUGAAUAUAUACUAUCAAAUAAAUUUUAAUUUUUAAAUUAAAACUUUAAAUAUUAAAAUGUCACAUAUUUAAAUUUAACGAAUGUUCCUAAAUUGUGUUAUCAAUGUUAUGAGUUGUAUUUUAAUUUUUAUAUCAAGCAAGUAGAGAGACACAAUUCUUAGAAUUAAAAGCACAGGGACUGUUUUUUAAAAUCCAAAGAGUGCAAGGAUUGGUGGCAAAAUUAAACCUAGAAUCAAUGAAGUAUAUAUACAUUUUAUUUGGUUAAAAGAUGCCAUAGGUUCAUGUACUCUUCGAAAAUUUGAAAUUUGGUCUUUAUACUUUUAUUUCUUGAAAUUUAGUUCCUCUAUUUUUCAAUUUUUUAAAUUUAAGUCAAUUUAUAAACUUUUUUUUAUUAAUUUUGUUGGUGUAACAUUGUGAAAUAAUAAAAAACUAAAUUGAUAGCAAUAUAACUAAAAAAUGACAUAGUAAUUAACUUGAACUUAACAAAAUAAUUUUAACAGUGUUAAUAGUUGAAUCUAAAUUUUGAAAUUUAAAAAAUAGAAUGACUAAAUUCCCAGAAAUAUAAAUAUAAGUACCCAACUUCACAUUUUUAAAAAAUAAAGAAACUUAUGACAUAAUUUAACCCUUUUUUUAUUUCAGAAGAAUUUGCAAAUACAUAUUCGAUCAAUUAAAAUUAAAAUAAGAAUCAAUUAAAUAUAAAAACGUAAUGAACUGAAGAUUGAAAUAUAUUCAAAUCGAAAUCAAUAUACAUUCAUAUAGAGUCCACACGAUAAAACUUAAAUCUAGAAUGAAUUUUGGACUUGAACAAAGGCGAAGACAACGGAAGUAGGCAGUAACCAUGGCCCCAGCGUGGUAAAAUUAUCCUUUAACUCCUUUAAAUUUAUCGUAAUUAUAUAAUUAUAGUAUUCUACUCUGGCCCGCCCCCCGAAAUUUUAAUUUUCAUUCCCCUUGAACAAUAUUCUAAAAUCACGAUUAAUAAAUGCGCACGUGGCAUAGUAUUAUUUGAUUUAUUUGCAUAUGACAAAAUAUGACUCCAUCUUGGAAGUAUCAAUAACAUACAAAUAGGCUUAAUUUACUAUUUAGUCCUGAAUUAUAUCUAUUUUCUCACCUUUGUAUUUUUUUUGUACUUAAAAUAUCAAUUUCCCCUAUUUUUGGUUUACUUUGUAACUUUGAUUAGAAAAGCCUUUUAGAUCACUUUGGUCAAUGAAAAAAUGCCACGAGCAUUGACCUACCGCAUGAUGCCGUUAGAAUACGGCACAUGUUCUUUUUUAUUAUUUUAAUAUUAUAUAUUUUUUAUUUAUUAAAAAUAUAAAAAAAUCAUACAUAAUGUAUAAAAAGGUUUAAAAUAUUUUUUUAUAAAAUUUUAAAAUCUUUAACUAUAAAGUUUAAGAAUUAAAAAUAAUAUAUAAAAAUGACAAUUGUUAUAAAAAUAAAAAAAGUUUAAAUUUCGAGUAAUUGCAAAAAUACAUUGAAAUUUAAAUACCUUUUCAGAAUUUUAUAUAAAAAUAUUCUUAAUUUGUUUAAUAAUAUCAUCAAUUUAAACAAAAUUUAUUUUAAAUAAUUGUAGUUUUUUAAUUAAUUUAUUUUUUCUAGAUUUUAUGUAUAAUUUUUAUUUAUUUUCAUUUUAUAUUUUUUAAUAUGUAUAUAUAUUUAAUAAAACAAAAUAUUUAUUUUUUACAUAAAAUCACCAUGUGGUAUUUUGUGUUCGAUUAUCAAUUUGUUUAACGUCUAUAAAAAAUAAACUUAAAAAAUAUAAUAGAAACAUACUUUAAAAACCAAAAUAGGAUAAAAAAAAUUAAAUAUCAAUAUAAAAAGAUAGUGAAUUACAUAGAGCAAAGUGGACGGUCCAUUUAAAAUAUUAUUUUAUUUUAAGAUAUUUACUAUUUUAUGUCUCGUUAAUAAUUAGUAUUUCCUUUUUCAAUUUCUCGUAAAUAUCGAUAUGUGGAGUGUCUGUUAUUGAUGCAUGUUCACAUUGUAGGGGACAUUUUUCUUUUUAAUUUAUUAUUUAAUAUUGUUUUGGGUUUUAUCAAAAAAAAAAAAAGAGGCAUUGUCGUAAGUAUUUUAUAUUUGAUUAUUUAAACCAACAGUUUACAAAUAUUAAUAUUAGAUCAUGAUGUAAUCACAAAAUAGUGUAAUAGAAUAAUGUUGUUUUACAAGUGAAACCAAUUGUACCUUUCUUUUUCAAAAUUAUUGUUUAAGAUUGGUCGAGCUAGUUCGAUAAAAUAAAAUAAAAUUCUCAUAAAAUUAUUUAAAAAUUCGGUUUAAUCGAUAUGUACUGUUUAUGGUUCAACCAGUACGAUGUCUUUUUAUGGACCGAUAAAAAAUAUUAUAUUUUUUUUAAAAAUUAUAUUUGUCAUGAGAUGUAUUAAUAGGCCAUCGCAUGGUGUCAUUGGAUUGGUUAACAGUCCCACAUCAGUACAAAUUAAUAAUACCAGUACGGAAAUAUUAACUUAAUUGAGGGAAUAUAAAUUUAGGGACCAACUAGAUACAAAUAAACAAGUUUAAGUGCAAAAUAUAAAUUAACCCAUUGUAUAACAUAAACACAAUUAUUUGGUUUGUUGCACUAACAUAAAGUUUGAGGACCCGGUGAAGCCCUCAUUGAUAUUGGAACCAUGGAUGGGGAUAUAAUCACACUAUACAUUAGUUGGAUAAAAUAAUUGUAGGGAAAAGUGGAAGGUGCAUUUAAUCUAUUAAUUUAUUUUUAGGAUCUUGACUGGUUUUGUAAUUAAAAUAAAUUUUCUCUAGAAUAUUGAUGGUAGAGUGUUUUUUUGUUAAUAAAUGUUCACGUGGUGCAUGGCGGUGCUAACCUUUUUUUUAAAGUUGUUUAGCUAAUCUUCAUGGGGAUUUGAUUAUAUUUAAAUUAAGAGUUUUAAUAUAUUAUGGUAGGAUCUAAUUAAUUAUUUAAUUAAUGUUAACCGUUAAUAUUUAUGAUGUGACUGUUAACGAUGCUAAUUUAAACAAACGUCCCAUGUCAAUAAAAAUAAAUUAUUUUAACUUGAUAAAAAAAUAUGGGAUAUUUUCUCUAAUUACCCUUUAUUUCUCACACGUUUUGAUGUUAAUACGAAAUAAAACUUUUAAUUAACUUAUAAAUUAAGACAAAAAAUGGAGAGAGAUGCUACAAAACAAAAGUUGGUUGUUUGGUCAUUUCCGCCACCUAAAAGAAGAAGAAAAAGGCAUAUAUGUUAAAGCAUGUGAUUUAAAUUUUCAAUGAUUGUUAAUUAAUAUAGUUAAUUAUUGUAUUAAAAGUGAAUAACCUUUUAGAAAUCAGAGUCUUAAUCAAAUCAUUAUUUUAUUGGGUGUCUUUAUUUAUAUAAUACAAUUUCAACACACGCUUUAUCACAUAAAUAAAUUUGCAAAUCUAAUCUUGAUAUUCUAUUUCGACUAAUGACCUUACUAUUGGACUUCAUCUUUUUUAUAUUUGAUUCAUGGGAAAUCUGUUGAUAUCUGUUUUUUUAUACCAUGUUUAGAACUAUGCAUAACUUCUCUCCAACCCAUGAAUAGGAGAAUAAUGCGCUUCAGUACACUUGAAUCCAUAUCCUCCUGCAUUGACAACAAUACCCAUGUCAAUUAAGUUCAUGAUUUAUACAUACAAAGAUGGCUCAAUUAUGAAAUGAGCUCACCGGCUAAUCAGCACAAAAUUAAAAGUCAAAAUAAAACAAACAAAUAGGGCCACAAGCUAAUUAGCCCAAAAUCAGUACAUAUUUAUUUAACGAUUUAUUAUCGAUGUGUCAAUCGUACAAGAUGAUUAAUUGAGAUUAUUCGGAUUAAUUAUAAAUUUUGAAAAUAAUGAAUAACUUCUUCUAGUAUUGUAGAGUUGUUUGUACUAACAGUCGUAUUACAUUUUGUUCUCUCUACUAAAAUUAGAAAUGAGCAUAACAUAUGUUACAAUUGCCACCAUUGUCGAAAAAAUUACCAACCAAACAAAAUUGGGUUUUCUUUUUUUCAACAAAAGAUCAAGCAACCCGGUUUCUUUUAUGACAACCUUUGCCAUUUGAUUUCAAAGCUCCACCACAUGAAGAAGAACCAUGAUCAUCACCAUCAUCAUCAUCCCCAUUAGACGAUACAUCAAUGGAUGAUUUGAUGAAUGAACUUGAAAUAUCAUUGUAAAGACCAACCACUCUUUUAAUGUUGUUGUUGACCUCCCUAAUUAGCCCAACAUUCCUGGUCAAGUUAUGAGGGACCUUGGACUCAUGGUUUAUGUUUAUCUCAUUGAUGAGCAGCCUGUUCUGGUCCAAUAUGGUCUGGACCUGAACCAAACCCUUUUGUAAUGUUUGCACCACUUUGGGGUCCAUUUGAUCACUACCAUCGCCAAGCCUUGAGAAUGUCUCGCCCUCCAUUGUGUGUGAAUUUGAUGCACUAGGAGCUCUCUAUCUCAAAACUAGACCUGAAUGAACAAGAAGAAUCAUAUGAGUGAAAAGCUUAGGAACCAAAAUUAAAUUAUAUAAAAUUAAAAAAAAAAGUCUAAAGUACAAUUUUAUCUUUAUAUAUAUAAUUGUCGUUUUAAAAUUUUAAAAAUAAAAUAAAAUAAUUUUUUUUAUCUUUAAGGUCAAAAUGUAUUUUUACCGUUAAACUAAUUUAUAAAUUUAAAAACUUCAAAAAACUAAAAUAAUAAUUUGUCAUUUUAAGAGCCCAAGGCCCUUCCUUGCUCCAUUAGUGCCGUCUUCGGCCAUCCAUUAGGGGUGAGAAAAAGUAUUUAGUUAAUCGAUUACGAUGAUUAAUGGUCAGUUUAGCAUUGUUUCUAAAGAAUAUUUUUAGGACAAAAAACACUUUUAAGAUAAAUGCAUUGCUAAACAAUAUGUUUUUGAGCAUUUCAAAAUUAUUUUUGGGACAAAAAAUAUUUUACAAAAUUACUUUUUUUAACCCAUAGCAGUUUUGCUUAAAAUUACUUUUUGAUCCAGUUUUGAGAAGUAAUACUAAAUUAAGUCUAAGUCAAUUCUAUAAGAGGUAAAGUAAGAUAAGUUGAUUGGUUUAAUAACCAAAACUCAAAUAAACUUCUAGAUCAUCACGAUACGGGAAGUCAAUUUGGCUAGUUAGGAUAUAUAAUUUGGGUUUGUAAGCAGUAAAAUAGGGUAAAUUAGUCUAUUUAUUACAUAUUAUAUAUUAUAGGGAGAGAUCCACUUAACUUUAUACUCGUAUAAAAUUAUACAUUAUUUUAUAUAUUUUUAUACUAUUAUUAAUUUAGCGAUUAAUUGAAUCAUAUUUAUUGAUAUAUAUAAAAAUUUUAUAUAAAAUAAAUAAUUAAAAUAUUUAACUUACAUCAAAUUUAUCGUGCAUAAUUUAUAUAUAUCACCACUAAAUUUUAAUUGACACAAAAGACUAUAUAAGCAAAUAUAUAUAAUAUAUUUAUAUGAAAUUGAUAUAAAAUUUAAAUAAGAGUUUGCUUAAAACGAUAAAUUUUAUCAUGUUUUUUAAAUUUUAUAUAAAAAAACACACGAAGUUAUUUAAUGUCAUUGUUGCUAUAAUUAUAAAUUAUUUAUGAAGGGAUAUGAAAAAAAGCAGAUCCCAUUUCCAUAAAAAGGAACCUUUUCUUUAAUGUACUCAUAAAAUACCCACCUAAUAGCACUGAGUUUCAUACAAGAAUCUAAAAAAUAAAAUUUAGAAAUUUAAAUAGAAAAUAUACAAGCAAUAAAAAUGUGCAAAGCUUUUUAUGAAAUUAAAUCAAAUUAAACAUGCAAAAGCUUCAAAUUCAUGGGAAAAUGAACAUCAAUGGAAAAAAAAAGAAGAAAAAAGAGGACCCUGAAUUGGGAAUUAAAAUAAAACCCAAAAGGGGGGGGGAUUAGGUCAAAUUAAAAAAAAAAAGAUGAACAAAGACUGUUAAAACAAGAACAAGAAGCUGAAAACAUUGAUUUCAACAAAGAAAAGAAAGCGAGAUUCUUAAUCUUUGCAAAAUAUAUAUAAACGAAAAUAAUUAUAUAUUAUAUAAUAAAUCUAUUUAUAUACGAACCUUGAAAAAUCUGGAGCAUUAUAUUUCUGAGGAAGGAGACACGAGAUUCAAAGACGGAAGACGAGGGAUUGAUUCCCGAGGAACAGGACCGCCGAUUAAAUCGUAUCUCAAAAAAAAAAUCUAAAUUAUGAGAGAGAGUUCUUAGACCGAGAGAAUAUUGUAGAUUUGAUUGUCACGGUGUGUGUAUACUGUAGAUAUCCCUGAUUUUGUUUUUAAAUUAUUUAAAAUUUCCUUUAUUUAGUGCGGGAAAUGUGAUUGCUUUUUGGUUAAAUUCUUUUAUUAGUCCCUUUAAUUUGCAGAAGCUCUAGAUUUUGUCUACAUUUUUAUUUGAUCAAUUUCAAUCCAUCUACUUUCCAAAUUAGUCCAUUUUAGUCCCUAUACUUUUUGAAUUCAUUAUAGAUUUAAUUUAUAUCCUCCAAUCGUAUCAUUCCAAAGAUCUGUUCUUCGUUGCAGUGGAAAAGUACUUUUAAGCUAAAAAAGUAUUUUUUUCAACACAAAAGCAAUGAAGAACACUUGGCUUUCGGAGUUAAAAGUGCAGUAAAAAAUUACUUUUUCACCCAAACGCAAAAAUUGAAAUUUAGGUACUUUUAAUUUUUGCGUUUGAAAGUGAAAAUAAUCGAAAUACCCUUAUUCAUAUUAACUAUUUAAAAUAAAUAUUUUGAAACCAAUUAUUAUAUAAAGGGUAAACUACACCCAUAGUCACUUUAAAAUAGAGUCUAUCCUAUUUUGGUCACUCUAAAUAAGAUAAUUGUACAAAUUAGUCACUGCGAUUAAAAUUUUCAUUUUUUUAACAUAUUACUAAUGUAACACAUUACCCAUUAAAUUACUAACACCAUAAAAAAUUAUAAAAAAUUCAACCCAAUUCAAUAAUUUUAUUUGCCCAUAUCAUUCGUAUUGGUUGCUUAUGGGCCCAUGAGCUUAGAUGGUUAUUUUUGUGUAUAGAGAUGAGCCAGAAUAAAUUAAAAACAUUUUGGGAGUGAAGUUAGAAAUUUUGUGUUUAAAAUAAUUUAAAUUGAAUAGUUAAUUUUGUAGAGGCUUGAAAUUAAAUAAAGUUCCAUUAACUUAAGACUAAAAAAAUUAAAUUUAACUGUUAAAUAUUAAGAAUUUCAUCAUUUAAAUACGGGAAACAAGACUCCUUCGUAAAUUUCGAUUAAGAUUAAUUUAAUCUAUCAGAUCAAUAAAAUUGAUAACAAUCCCAUGUUAAUUAGUUAAUAAUUAGGCCAUGACUGUAUGAAACCAGGGUCACGACUUUCUAUCAUAUGACAUCAUUUUUUAAAAGAAAAAAUCGUGAUAAUAAAUCUUCACCUUUAAAACGAAUAAUACCUCAUUAUAAAUAUAGCCAAACUAAAAAGGAGAAAUGUAUAAUUAAAAUUUAAAUUAAGAUUUUAAUUUAUUGGAUUGACUUAUUCAAUUACGUCCUUAAUAACGUACCCAAAAUCCAAGCCAGAAGACUUGAUUUUAAGUAUACCCAGACCAGACCAAAGACAAGACCGAGUAAUAAAAAGAAAGAAGAAGACAUUUAUUAGAAUGAAGACAUAUUCAAGUCCAACAACAACACUUUAAAAACGUUAAAUUAAGUCAAUUAAACCAAUUUCCUAUUUAUUAAAAUGGUUUAAUUCAACGUUGAACCAUUCAAAAAUAGAAAUUAAAAAAAAAAGACAAUAUAGCACAUAAUUAAAUUAAUAAUGUUGAUUUUGAGUCCAUUAAAAUGUGAAAUUCAACAAAUAUGGGUUUUUUUUUUUGGGGGGGGUGUUUUAAGGUUAUAUGAAAUAGCUUUGGUACUUGCUAUGAAACUACAAAAGUUUGGUCCAACUCUAAGUCCCCCCAAAAAAGGAAAAUAAUAAUAACAAUAAAGAAAAGGUCUAAUUAUGAAUUGUACCCUCUACUUUACAAAAAAUUAAAAUUUAGUCCAUUUAUUUUAAUUUGUUAUAUUUUAUUCUUCAUUGAAAGUUGAAAAAUUAGUCUAAUUGAGUAACAAUUUUUCUUUUUUUGAAAAUGAGUAGCACUGUUAAACCUUGAUAUUAUAUCUAUGAUUUAAAAAUCAACAGUUCAGCAAUUAUAUGCAGAAAAUAGGAAAAGAAAAUAGCAAUUUUGCAAUUUAUAUAUGACAAAUUAGCAAAAGCUAGCAAUUUAAAUUCAUGUGUUUAGCAAUAAAAUAGAUUAAUUUCUCUAAAGUAUAAGAUAAAAAACAAAUUAAAGUGAAAGGACUUGUAACAAAAAAAAAGAGCGAAAAGAUUACCUUCUUGAUUUUCGUAAAGUACAAGGACUAAAUUCAUAAUUAGACCUAAAAUUGUUAUCAUAAAAGUUGUCUAAACCUUCAUUUACAGUCUUCAAUGUGCCGAAGCUUACAAGACUCAUUCCAAUGUAUAUAUAUAUAGAGAGAGAGAGAGAGAGUAGCCAAGAAAGGAAGGAAACAUGCCUAGGGAUAAAGAGAUUGAUAAGCCAAUGAAACCGCUUCGAAGAAGACGAAAGAAAGGUGACGGUGGUGGUGCCAGUGGCGGCGGCGACCGCGGUGGCAAUAAGGAAGUUGCAUUUUGUUUAUUUAUUUUAAUUGUGAUUUUGUUUGCUAUAAUUUUGUUCUUCUUUAUUCAUCUUUUGAUGAGUUUUGAAAUAAUUUAGAGACACUUAAACGAUGGAUCUACCACCAGUUUUGAAAUAGGAUUGGAAGUAUAAUUAUUUGUGGGCUGUUUGUACCAUACCAUCCUAGUAUUUUUCUUCAUCGUAUUCGUGACACAUAAAUAGAAGGAUUAGUUAGUGUUUGAUGUUUUCAAAUUAUUAUCGAAACUUUAUUAUUAAUGAGUUUAUGUUUUGAUUAUUUAAUUUUAAAAAGUUACAAUAUGACUAUUGAGUUAUUCAAAAGUUUCUAUUUAAGUCAUUGGGUUGUUAAAGUUGUUGUAUGGCCUUCUUUGUUCUUACUACCUGUACAAUCGAAAUCUCUCAUUCCUUUUCUAUUUUACGAUUAAAUAUUUUCAUUAAAUAGAUUUUAAUGUCACGAAUUCGUGAACAAAAAAUCCAAACAACUUUCUUCUUCGAUAUCUAACACUGACCGUCAGAUCGACUUGGAUCUAAAGUAUGUUAUUCUACUCAUCGAUGGGUACUGAUCCACCAUACUGAUCGCCAAAUAGUUGCUUAAAGCUCACUAGUCGAACUUUCAAAAAGAAAAUAGGCCAGUGACUUAAAUAAAAAAUUCAAAUAGUUCAAUGACUUAAAUGUUUUUGAAUAGUUCAGUGACCAUUUUGUAACUUUUUGAAGUUGAGUGAUCAAACCGUAAACUUACUAAUAAAUUAAUGACUUCAAGUGUAAUUUAAUAUUUCAAUGCUUUCAUGUUGGUCUCCCUAAUUGAUAACUACUUUUAUUUCUUUUUUCAUGCUUUAUCGGUUAAUCUCUAUAAAAUUAGGAUUGUGACUUUUCUUAUGAUAGAAUAAGAUUUUUAUGCAAUAUUUAGUUUUUUUUUUCUUUAUGGAAUUGAUUUUGGAAUUAUUGAUUUUAUAUAAGAUUCCCAACAUCGCGAGUGGGUAAUAAGUUUUAAAAGAUGGUUAAUACAAAUCCUUGAAGUAAUUAAGAUUGAUUAAUACAAACCUUUGAAAAAAUUAGGGUUGAUUAGAAAUUUAGCAUUUUUACUUAGAAAUUGUUAUUGCUGGUGUGGUUAUUGUGAAUAUUGUGUUUGAAAAAUUAAUAUAUUGCAUUAUUAUGAUACCAAAAAGCACUUAAAUGAUGUUUAUUUUUAUAAAAGAAAAAUACUAGCAGUAUGUUGUAGACCUGUCCAUGGGCCGGGCUGGGCCCAAAAAAAUUCGGCCCGACUCUUAGGCCCGGGCCUGGCCUGAAAUAUGGGCCUAAAAUUUUGUCCAGGCCCGGCCCGGCCCGGCCCGAUUUUUACUAAACACAAAAAAUAUUUUAAAAAUAAAAAAUAAAAAAAUAUUUUUUUUAUAUUCGGGCCGAGCCGGACCGGGCUCGGGCAAAAAAAGUUGAGCCCAAGCCCGGCCCAUUUUUUAAACGGGCCUCGUUUUUUUGCCCAAGCCCAUAUUUCGGGCCUAUAUUUUUACCCGAACCCUCCCGUAUUUCGAGCGGGUCCGGCCCAUGGACAGGUCUAGUAUGUUGUCUUCAUGAAAACUUUUAUGUCUUUAAAGGCUUAGAUAUAUUUGGUUUAAAUAUUUAACGGGAAUGGACAAAUAUUUUAAAAAGAAGUCUAUUAGUGAAGUAGAGGAAGAACAACAAGAAAUAUAUAUCAUAUAUUAGUUUAUAUGACUUUUAUAAAUGUUUUAAUUAAAAAAAAUUGACCGUACAAUCCAAAUAUCCUAACUAAACCAUUGCACGCGUAUACAUGCGAAAACCAUAAAAUAUAGAAUACAAAUGUGUGUUUAAAAAUAACCUACGAUAAACAAUGAAUCGUAUGGAGAUAAACAAUAUUAAAUGCAUUACAAUUAUUUAUCACAGUUUUGCCAUCAACUGUGAGUUAGUUUCAAGUUGACUUACGACACCAACUCCAUUAACUAUAUUAUUAAUAUAUACAAUUGAUGGAGAUAAUGAAUUGUGCAUAUUACAAUAAAAAUGUAUAAAAUAUAUUAAGAUAAAAUUUUGGCUGAGUAAUAAAUUUAAAGUUUUAUGAAUCAAAUUGACAUGGUUCAUAUAUCAUGAUAUGCAUAUUUUUUAUCGGUUGUUAUUAAAAUAAAAAAGGUUAAAAUACCGUUGAAUAAUAUAAUUUAUUUUAAUUACAAAAUGAUAUUUUCAUAAUUUUCUUGACCGAGUUGAUACUCAAUUGACUUGUAACACAAUCUAGUCAGGAAUUUAAAUAAUAGUAUAAAUAAUAAUUGUGUUAAUGAUCCCUUCUGUACCAAGUUUCAACAGCAAAGGAAUCGUCCAACCAUGGAUACGCUUGCUCAAUCUAUCAACAAUUUUAAUAAUUGUUAUAAAAUGUGGGUUUUUAAUAUAUUUUUUUCAAUUGAAUUAAUGUUGAAUGACUUGCUUAAUUAAAUAUUUAAAUAAUUUGUUUUUAAACAAUAAGACUUAUAAACAAUGGGACUACAAAUUUCUAAAUGGUUAAAAUAUGUACUAAGCCUCUAUACUUUUUAUAGACGUAGAAUUUUGACCUUUUAUGUUUAUUUAUAAUAAUUUAUUUACUCUAUUUUUUAUAUUUCAAAAAUUAGUAAACUUGAUUUUAAUAAAAAAAUUAAUGAUUUUAGUAAUUUAAUUUCUUAAAAUAAAAAUAAAAUCAACCCAAAGCCUAUUUUACAGCACAAAUAGUGAGAAACGUGACCCUGACCGGGACCGGGACCCGGACCCGGACCCGAUACCUACUUUAUAGCAAAUAGCAUUUCCAUAUCUCUCGUUUCUUCUGUGCAUAUACCUCACUGCCCCUAAAAUUUAAUCGAGGAGAUCUCGUUGUUCUUUAGCUCCGUUUUGCAGCCAUGGCUACUCUAGAUUCCGAUGUGCCGAUGGUGCCCGCCGGUGAAGCUUCCGGUAGCUCCGCCGCGUCUUCCUCUACUAAGAAGCCCAAGCGCUUCGAGAUCAAGAAGUGGAGCGCCGUUGCCCUCUGGGCCUGGGGUACUAAUCCCUAACCCUAACCUAACUUACUUUCUCCAUUCAGUUUUAUGUCGAAAUCAGUGUUUUUAUUGACGUUGAUUUGGUUGAUGGGAUGCAGAUAUUGUGGUGGAUAAUUGUGCAAUUUGCAGGAAUCACAUUAUGGAUCUCUGUGUGUAUUUCUACCUCGAUUUUAUUCAAGUUUUUGUUAAUUUGAUUUAGGGGGUUUUUUUAGGGUUACUGUUUCUGAUUGUUUUCUUCAAUUUCGUUGUUUAGGUAUCGAGUGCCAAGCUAACCAAGCCAGCGCCACCAGUGAGGAAUGCACUGUUGCUUGGGGUAUGUUCGAUUUUGGAAUUGUUGAAAAGCAUGUUUGGGUUACUAAAGAAGUACUAUUAAAGGAUAUUGUAGAUGUUGUUUUGGAUUGUGUAAGCAUUGGUUACUUUGGGGAAUAGUGUUAGGUUGUUAGGUUUCGAUGUUCUUUAUACCAAACACAAGGAAAUCAAUCAAGCACUAUUAAGACAUACAAUAGACGUCUUUCCGUUUGUGUAACCCUUGUUGACUUUGGGAGGUAGUGCUAGGUUGUUUGGUUUCACUUUACUGUACCAAACACAAGGUUUGGGAUUCGUUGUCUAUUUGGUAAAGUGGAGGCUAUUCGGGUGUAAAAGAGAAUAAGUUAGAACCUUUUGUACAAAUUAUGGUGAACCUAUAAUUAUAGCCGUAAAUAUGCUAAUGUUGAAUCAAUUAAGCACUAUUAAAACAUGUAGUAGACAAGUUUUCAAUUGUGUAAGCCAUGUUUACUUUCGGAAGUAGUGGUAAGUUGUUUGGUUUCGCUGUACAUUAUACCAAACAGAAGGUUUGAGAUUUGUUGCCAAUUUCAUUAAAUGGGAGUGUUGUCAGGUUGUAAAAGAUAACAAAUUAGAAACUUUUGAAGAAAGAUGAUGACACUUUUUGUAUUUGAUUAAGAACAUACCCUGUUAUCAUAGCUUUUAGUAUGAUAAUCGUGAUGAUUUUUUUUUCUUGUGAUAUCGAUAAUGGUGAUGAAUCAAUUAUGUAAAUGAGGGCUAUUAAAUCUUUAUGACUAAUGCUUUGCUUUUGUUAUAAUUAACGCCUAGUAUCAUUCAGAUACGUUAUUUUGUAGAUAUACUUGAGCAAGUUGACUCGUUAGGUGGUUUGCUUAAUUGCAUUUGCUGAUUGUGCACGUUUAGUGCAAUUUUAGUUUUUUUUUCACGUAAAAGCUUUUUCAUUUUGGCCGAAAUUGAAUUUGUUGCCCUUCCUUUGGUGGGUUUAUAUAGUUAGCCAAAAUGGUUAAUCUCAAUGUAAAUAAAAUCCCCCGAUUAGAGUAAGUAAAGUGUUGAAGAAAUUAGUAGGCUCAUCUUUACCUACAAAUAUGUAUAUAUCGGAAGAAAAAUGCCUUGAGCUCAUCUAUUAUAUGUUUUUACUAUAAUCUAUGAGUUGUAUGUAUCAUCUCACUUUAGCUCCAACAUGCUUGAUCAUUGUGUAAUUGAUUUUUCUCUUCUUUGUGUAUGUAGGGGUCUGCAACCAUGCAUUUCACUUCCAUUGUAUCAGCCGAUGGCUCAAGACUCGUCAAGUUUGCCCAUUGGGUAUGCUUUUUUCCUCCCGAUGUAUACAUCGCUCGGAUAUUUUUCCCCGCAAUCAGCAUUAACACCUAAGUUGGUCUUCGCUUUUGCAGAUAACAGUGAGUGGGAGUUCCAAAAGUAUGGGCACUAGAGAGCUUUCAGGCCAAUACUGGUUGAACCCUCUUACCUUUCUGGUAUGGUGAGAGAAGAAUGCAUAUAUUUCAUUAGCUUUUAUGCUGAUUCAAACAGUAGUUGCUUUAAUAUUUCAGAGUAGAAUUUGGUCAUAAUUUUAUUUGCACCGAGUGUAAUAUGCUAUAUUUUAUGAGAAUUAUCCUUUAUUAUUGUGCUGAAACCUUCCUUGUUCUAUCUCUGGAUUUUGGUACUGAUGAAUGUCUUCUUCUUCUUUUUUUCAUGUGAAUCAAAUGGCUCCUUUUAAAGCUUUGUUAAAUUCAAAAUCAGAAUUAGAUUAAUGUCUCUAAAGAAAGGAUAAUAUUAUUUAACAAAAUUAAGGGAAAAUUUUGACUUUAUAAUAGAAAGUUAAUAUUUCAAAAAAAAUAAAAAGAUUGAUACUAAUCAAAUUAUAAAAAAAGAAUUAAAUCAGUAAAAAAUGCGUAGUAUAAAACUUUCUACAAUGUCUAUGGGAAUAUUAGAAUUAAAGGUGAUUAUGAAUUGAAUUAGACCUAUACCAUUAAUGGUAUAAUAUUAUGUAUGUAUAGUUGCUUAACGUGAGUCUUGAAAUUUAGUCAUGUAGGUUAAAAUAUGUUUUUAUUUUUAGGAAUUUAGUUUUUUUUAAAAUUUUUCUGAUAUUAAAUUUUAGAUCUAACUUUUAAUAGUGCUAAAUUUAUUUUGUUAAAUUUAAGUUAAUUGCGUCAUUUUUUAGUUACAUGGCUAUCAAGUGUUGCAAAUUUUAAUUAAAUUUUUUUAAAUUUUGGGAAUAAAAGUAUAAUGAUUAAAUUUGAAAUUUGGGAAGAAUACAGGGACUUAUGACAUAUUUUAACUUAUUUUGUAAAUAGUCAAUGCAGUCUCGCGUUUGGACUCAGGUUUUAAAUAUAAAAGUUUGAGUUCGAACCUAUAUUUAAAUCGGAACUAUUUUUCUCCAAAAUUUGAUUUUUUGAAAAACUAAUGAAAGCUUGCGAGGCACAUGUCGCCCUUUGCAAUGCUUCUCUUCUUAGUUUGUGGUGUCAAAUGGUGACGAAUUGGUGGAGAUUUUAGACCUCUUUGAAUGCUGGUUUGAAGUUUCUACCCCGCUUUGGCACAUCCAAGAAUGAUGUUGAUCAAUUUUUUGUCACUGUCCAACAGCCUCUAAGAAAAAAUAUUGUGAGACUUAAGGAACAAACAAAUGACCUAGAGGAUAAGAAUUCUAACUGGUAGCAAACAUAAAAUUUGGAAACGAGCCGGUUGAGUUUUAGUUCGACUGGCAUGAGUAUUGUUGUCAAUGCAGGAAGACGUAAAUUUUCGAAUGCGCUGAAACGUAUUAUCCUUCCACUUAUGGGUUGAGAAAGAGUUAUGAUUAACCGUUAUAAUUUUAAUAUUUUUAUCCAAAAUGUUCUAAGGAGUUAAAAGUGAAUAGAAACAAAAAUGAAAGAAAGCAGGAAAUAGAGGUGGGAAUAAAGGGGGCAAAAAACGUGAAAUUGAAAGGCAGACCAUCUUUUUCAACUACCAAUGCUUUUUGUCGGGCUUUAGGCAUUAAAAAAGGCAUCUCUCCAUCCAUGUGCAUCUUCUCAGACCUCUAAAUUCUUCUACCCCCAAAUGCCAAAGUGUUGUUUUAAUUUCAAGAAUUUUCAAAUCCAUUAAAAUAUUUGAAUUUUGUUAUACAUGAUUUUCUCUUUGCUCUUUGUAGAUCUAGAAUUUAAUGUUUAUAUUUUUAUUUUUUUUAAAAUUUUUUUUAUUUUUUAGAUUUUAAAAUUUAGAAUCAACUAUUAACACCAUUAAAUUUAUUAGUGUUACAUUUUGAAAUUAAAAAAAAAAUCACUUGGUAGUCAUGUAACUAAAAAAGAAACGUUAUAAUGAACUUAUUUUUAACCAUUGAACUUAAAUUUUAAAUCUGAAAAACAGAGAGAUUAAAUUUCAAAAAAUAGAUAUAUAAAAAUUAAAUUCUAGAAAUAGAAGUGCAAAGUUGACAACAUAUAUUUUAAUCAUAUAUGUAUAAACCCCCUCCAUCUUCUAGAAUACCCAAAACUACCGCUACACCAUCGAAAGUCGGCCAAAAUCGUUACAAACAAUUCUCAAUACUCUAAUAUCUGUAAAAGUAGAUUGGAAUUAAAGAUUAUAUCCAAAUAUAUCAUUCAAAUUGUGUCCCAACCCACACUCAUGGCUGGAUACCAUUAUGUUUUUACUUAUUAUCAUUAUAAUCACACUUUUAAGCCUAGUGCUCACUUUUCCCCCAUAAAUUAUGAACUAAAGUAUUGCUUAACUCUGCACUUCUUUUAAAACUCAUUUCUCCUUCAAAUGCAAUCCAUUUAUCUUCCAUCUUCAGUGUUGUCUCUCUCAUCAGUCAUCUCUUGCUUCGUACAAGUUUAAUUUUAUGUUGUAGUUGAUGUAAGGGUAAUAAGAGGUGAUCCCCUAUCGAAUGAAGAAUUUUCAUAUAAGUCCUGAUAAAAUUGUAUUUUUUUUAUUCAUUUCUAGUUCCUAAAAUAAUUUUUUCAUUAUGCGUAAUGGUAAAAUUAUAAGCAAAAUAAGGAGGUGCCAUUUUUAAUGAUUGAGAGUGAUGAUAGGAGGUUUUUUUGGCACAUGGUGCGCUAAGAAAAUGGCAGUGGGACCCAGAUGAUAACAGUUAAAGUUGUUAAGCUAAAUUUUGUUAUUAGUCUCGACUCUCGUAUUAUGUGUAAAUUGUGACUUUAGUCUCCAUAAUCUAAAUUUGAUAGUUUUUAGUCUAUAAUUUUCAAAUUUUGAAAUUUAAGUCAUUUAAAUGGAUUAACAAUAAUGUGACUUUUUAUAUAUGAAAAUAACAAGUUAAAAUGAUAUUAUACAUGUACUAAUAUAUUUAUCGCAUAAGAUUUUAAAAAGAACAAAUUUAACGUCUCCCAUUAAAGGCUAGUUAGAAUUAAAAUUUCAAAAUUUGAACGAAUUUAGUAUAGAAAAUUAAAAUCCAAGGACUAAUACAAGAAUUUGACAUAUUUUACUCUAAAAAAUUACAUAUAGCGGAAGCUUAACACGAUGGCAUUAUGGUAAAUAAGGGAAAAGAUUAAGGCCAAACAGAAAUAUGAGUGCGUUAUAUAUCCGGCGCAAAAGAGUCAAACGUACACUUUCACUGUAAUCAACAGCCAUGGCCGCCAUGGCUUCUUCUUCUUCUUCUAAUUUCUUCUUCAUCUUCUUCCUCGUGUUAUGUCUGAAAAUCACUGCCAAAAAAACGUACAUUGUCCAAAUGAAACAUCAAGAUAAGCCACUUUCUUUCGAAACCCACCAUGAUUGGCACAGUUCGAGUUUACAAUCACUCACCGAUUCCCCACCCGAGUCACUUCUUUAUUCAUAUACUGAAGCUUUUAAUGGCUUCGCUGCUUCUCUUAAUGAAGAACAAGCUGAGUCUCUUAGCAAAUCGGAAUCGAUUCUGGGUGUUUAUGAAGAUACAGUUUACACUCUCCAUACUACUCGUUCACCUCAAUUCCUCGGCCUUGACGCCGAUUUGGGGCUUUGGGCCACCGGCGGUAGUACCCAGGCUUCUGAGGAUGUUAUUAUCGGGGUUCUUGAUACCGGAGUUUGGCCGGAAUCUAAGAGUUUUGACGAUUCGGGCAUGCCGGAGAUUCCUUCUAAGUGGCGGGGUGAAUGUGAGUCGGGUCCUGAUUUUGGUCCUAAGUUUUGUAACAAGAAACUCAUCGGUGCUCGGAGCUUUUCGAAAGGUUACCGUAUGGCCAUCGGCGGUGGGAUUAAUAAAAAACCCAAAGAGAUCGAUUCCCCGCGUGAUAAAGAUGGUCAUGGGACUCACACGGCCAGCACCGCCGCAGGCUCUCACGUGGCUAACGCUAGCCUUUUAGGGUACGCCAGUGGGAUUGCUCGUGGGAUGGCGACUCGAGCCCGGGUCGCCGCUUAUAAGGUUUGUUGGGAAACGGGUUGUUUUGGGUCCGAUAUCCUCGCCGGGAUGGAUCGGGCUAUCCGAGAUGGCGUUGAUGUGCUUUCGGUGUCCCUCGGUGGUAGACUGGCGCCAUAUUACCGCGAUACGGUCGCCCUCGGAGCCUUCGCGGCGGUGGAGAAGGGUAUUUUCGUCUCUUGCUCCGCGGGCAAUAGUGGGCCGACAAGAGCCACCCUUGCUAACGUGGCACCUUGGAUUAUGACCGUCGGCGCUGGGACUUUGGAUCGAGAUUUUCCGGCUUAUGCCGUUUUAGGAAACAAAGUCCGUUAUAAUGGCGUCUCGCUUUACAGCGGUCGAGGAAUAGGGAAAAAACCGGUCGGUUUGGUUUACAACAAAGAUAACAACACUUUUGGUAAUUUAUGUCUGCCCGGUUCGCUUAAACCGGCUUCAGUUCGUGGAAAAAUAGUCGUUUGUGAUAGAGGAACAAAUGCUCGUGUGGAAAAAGGAGGAGUUGUACGCGAUGCUGGAGGGGUCGGAAUGAUAUUAGCGAAUACGGCGGAUAGUGGCGAGGAAUUGGUGGCUGAUAGUCACUUGCUACCGGCCGUAGCAGUAGGGAGGAAAACCGGUGACUUGAUUAGGAAAUACGCACAAUCUAAUCCUAACCCGACCGCCAAGCUCGUUUUCGGUGGGACCGUCUUGAAUGUCCGACCUUCACCAGUGGUCGCAGCAUUUAGCUCCCGAGGGCCCAAUAUGGUGACACCGCAGAUCUUGAAGCCGGACGUGAUUGGGCCAGGAGUCAACAUAUUAGCCGCUUGGUCUGAGGCUAUCGGUCCGACCGGGUUGGUUAAGGACACGAGGAAGACUAAGUUCAACAUUGUGUCAGGUAUGUUGAGACUCUUAUUUGCCUAAAUUGUAUAAUCAUAUUCCUAUUAAUCAUGUUUCGAAAACUACAGGUACAUCGAUGUCGUGCCCACACAUUAGCGGGCUAGCAGCAUUGCUAAAGGCAGCUCAUCCAGAUUGGAGCCCAAGCGCAAUCAAAUCGGCUCUAGUGACCACUGCCUACACUCGAGACAACACCAACUCAUCUCUCCGGGAUGCAGCGGACGGUUCAUUAUCGAAUCCAUGGGUUCACGGGGCAGGUCACGUCGACCCUCAAAAAGCCCUUUCUCCGGGACUAAUAUACGAUAUAACUACGAAACAGUACAUAUCCUUCUUAUGCUCACUAGGCUACACCAUUGAUCAAGUUAAAACCAUUGUCAAGCGUCCUAACAUUACAUGUUCCAAGAGAUUCAAAGACCCUGGUGAACUCAAUUACCCAUCAUUUUCGGUCCUGUUUGGGGACAAAAGGGUUGUUUGGUACACUCGGGAAUUAACAAACGUCGGCCCCGCACGGUCGAUAUACAAAGUGGCGGUGGAUGGUCCGUCAUCUGUCGGGAUCUCAGUUAGGCCCCGGACGCUCGUCUUUAGGCAUAUUGGGGAAAAGAAGAGAUAUUCAGUGAGUUUUGUAGCUAAAAGGACGAGAAGAGGAUCAACGGCUAGGUCUGAAUAUGGUUCAAUAGUGUGGGGCAAUGCUCAACAUCAAGUGAAGAGCCCAGUUACUUUCUCAUGGACAUUUUUGUAAACACUUGGAGAAUGUCAAAUCAUUAAUGAAAAAUCUAAGGUCAAAUUCUGAUUUUAAGCCCUCUAUUAUAUUCUGUUUGCUGAUUUAAUCCCUAUACUUUUAAAUUGACAAAGUUUGAUCACUAAUCAGGCUCAAACAUGAAAGGUUUUUGCAACAGUUGUGUACAAGUUCAAGUAUAUGAGCAUUGUAAUGCCCAAUUAUUUGCCCGGCCCAUUUGAAUAAAUAAAACCAAUAUAAAAACCAAAUACUAAAGCCCAAAUAUAAAAUAAAACAAUAAAUAGUCCAUUUUUACAUUAUGUGGCCCAAUUUCACCAGCCCAAUUACACUAAAACCCAAAUCUGCCCAAAACUGAAAAAUCAGAAAACCCUAGAAUCUUCAGUUGCUGCCUCCAGCUUCCCACGAGCGUCGCCCCCUCCGCACGAACGUUGCAGCACGUUGCCCUCGCACAACCCACGUUCUCCUCCAGUGCACCUGUAACAAAUCACGAACAGCAUUAGAGUAAACAAAGAAAAUAGCAAAAAUAUAAAGGAAAAACAAAAUAAAUUCUGUAAUAUUCGGCUAUAGUAGCAUUUUGCAAGGGAGGAUUGUAACGAAAAAUAUUAAAAAAUAAGAAAAACAGAAAAUCAAAAAGGUAUAUUGAAGGUGAUUUUCUUCUACGAUUGCGCUUUCCGUUCUUGAAUCUUUUUUUUAUUAAUCGUGCAUAUAAAAAAAGAAAAAGAACCGUGGAGAGGCGAUUACCUGGUGGUCGGAGGCCUUGGAAUGGCCUGGCUGCUGGCGGCGGCUUAAGAAAUUUUUUUGAGAACCCUAGCAGAGAAGGCUAGGGUUAAUUUGUGUUUUUUUUUUUGGAAGAUAACAGAAACUAAU
This 23912-nucleotide long non-coding RNA is filed under the name Gossypium barbadense (sea-island cotton). RNAcentral's name for it is "long non-coding RNA (GBAR_LNC018930)". Lineage: Eukaryota; Viridiplantae; Streptophyta; Magnoliopsida; Malvales; Malvaceae. The record is from RNAcentral.